AUUGAACGCUGGCGGCAGGCCUAACACAUGCAAGUCGAACGGUAACAGGAAGCAGCUUGCUGCUUUGCUGACGAGUGGCGGACGGGUGAGUAAUGUCUGGGAAACUGCCUGAUGGAGGGGGAUAACUACUGGAAACGGUAGCUAAUACCGCAUAACGUCGCAAGACCAAAGAGGGGGACCUUAGGGCCUCUUGCCAUCGGAUGUGCCCAGAUGGGAUUAGCUAGUAGGUGGGGUAACGGCUCACCUAGGCGACGCUCCCUAGCUGGUCUGAGAGGAUGACCAGCCACACUGGAACUGAGACACGGUCCAGACUCCUACGGGAGGCAGCAGUGGGGAAUAUUGCACAAUGGGCGCAAGCCUGAUGCAGCCAUGCCGCGUGUAUGAAGAAGGCCUUCGGGUUGUAAAGUACUUUCAGCGGGGAGGAAGGGAGUAAAGUUAAUACCUUUGCUCAUUGACGUUACCCGCAGAAGAAGCACCGGCUAACUCCGUG
This 490-nucleotide ribosomal RNA is filed under the name uncultured bacterium. Its description in RNAcentral is "partial 16S ribosomal RNA". It matches the Rfam family "Bacterial small subunit ribosomal RNA", at positions 30 to 507 of the family's 1533-position model. The record is from RNAcentral.